This is a long non-coding RNA of Cercocebus atys (sooty mangabey), 448 nucleotides long. RefSeq lists it as uncharacterized. The record is from RefSeq and is a predicted model, not a curated record. The transcript has 2 exons. Lineage: Eukaryota; Metazoa; Chordata; Mammalia; Primates; Cercopithecidae.
AUUCACACUUUCUCUGCCUUGUCUUCUCAGGAUCACGCUGUGACUGCAUCUGUCCUGUUGGAUCCCAAGGCCUAGCCUGUGAGGUCUCCUAUCGGAAGAAUAUCCCCACUGAUGGGAAGUGGAAUUGCUGGUCAAGUUGGUCUUCAUGCUCUGGAGGACGUAAGACAAGACAAAGGCAGUGUAACAAUCCACCUCCUCAAAAUGGGGGCAGCCCCUGCUCAGGCCCUGCUUCAGAAACACUUGACUGCUCCUAGCAGAUAAUACAGCAGUGGGCUACAUACAGUGAGAGCUCUGAGCCCUCAAGUACUCAGGCCAGCUCACCCCUACACCAGUUUCCACCUGGGGUUCAUGUGAGGGCAAAAGGCAGUGCCAUGCAGGCUGUUUAAAAUAAAGAUAUUAGCUUGUAAAAUGCCAGUUGAUUUAAAUAAAUACUGAGUUAAAGGCUUAA